UCCCAGCUGUAAACGAUGCAGGCUAGGUGUUAGGGCGGCUACGGGCCGCUCUAGUGCCGCAGGGAAGCUGUUAAGCCUGCCACCUGGGGAGUACGGCCGCAAGGCUGAAACUUAAAGGAAUUGGCGGGGGAGCACCACAAGGGGUGAAGCUUGCGGUUUAAUUGGAGUCAACGCCGGAAAUCUCACCGGGGGCGACAGCAGGGUGAAGGCCAGAUUGAAGGUCUUGCCAGACGAGCUGAGAGGAGGUGCAUGGCCGUCGCCAGUUCGUGCCGUGAGGUGUCCUGUUAAGUCAGGCAACGAGCGAGACCCGCAUCCCCCGUUGCCACCAGCCUUGAGCUGAGCACACUGGGGAGACCGCCGUCGAGAAGACGG
RNAcentral lists this ribosomal RNA (372 nucleotides) under uncultured bacterium. RNAcentral describes it as "bacterial SSU rRNA". It matches the Rfam family "Archaeal small subunit ribosomal RNA", at positions 745 to 1122 of the family's 1478-position model. The record is from RNAcentral.